This 486-nucleotide ribosomal RNA is filed under the name uncultured bacterium. RNAcentral describes it as "bacterial SSU rRNA". It matches the Rfam family "Bacterial small subunit ribosomal RNA", at positions 35 to 509 of the family's 1533-position model. The record is from RNAcentral.
GCUGGCGGCGUGCUUAACACAUGCAAGUCGAACGGAGUUAAGCGCUGGUCUGAUGCUGGCUUGCCAGUGGAUUUCCUUGCUUAACUUAGUGGCGGACGGGUGAGUAACGCGUGAGUAACCUGCCCCUCAGUGGGGAAUAACGCCCUGAAAAGAGCGCUAAUACCGCAUAAUAUAUAUUUGCCGCAUGACAGAUAUAUCAAAAGAUUUAUCGCUGAGGGAUGGACUCGCGUCCGAUUAGCUGGUUGGUGAGGUAACGGCUCACCAAGGCGACGAUCGGUAGCCGGACUGAGAGGUUGAACGGCCACAUUGGGACUGAGACACGGCCCAGACUCCUACGGGAGGCAGCAGUGGGGGAUAUUGCGCAAUGGGGGAAACCCUGACGCAGCAACGCCGCGUGGAGGAUGACGGUUUUCGGAUUGUAAACUCCUUUUAUGGGGGACGAAUCAAGACGGUACCCCAUGAAUAAGCUCCGGCUAACUACGUGCC